UAGAGUGGAGUGCAUUGAAGCACUAAAUGCGAAUGUCAUUCCUCAUUAAUUUCAGAGGCGGACAGGCCUAAACAAAUGUUAUGGCUGCCAAGGACAACGCAGCAGACUCUUUGUGCGGCUUUGCGGCUCUGUGGGCCUUGUGUUGAGACUAGGGGCAGGGUAAAAACUUUGGCGAUGCGGUCUCACUUUAAAUUCACUUAGAACUUGAGCUUGUUCCCCUGCUGAUCCGUUUUUGCAGAGGGGAACUCUCAUUAGGCCAGAGGCUUAGCACCUGAAUGCUUGUCCGAACUGAAAUGGUGCCCAAAUUGGGCUGCACACGAGAUCUGCCUAAUGGUCGUUGACAACUUUUGACCCGCAAAUACAAGGAGAGUAACCCACAAUUGAAGAAGCGUAGCUCGUUUGAGGAGGUGGAUGUGGAGUAGAGGCAGCCUCAUUCCAACAGAUGGAGCAGAGGCCUGAGAAUAAUGGCAGCAUUCCUGCUUCGUGUUUUCUCCUGCAAUUUGGUUUUAACGGCAGCAAAAUGUGAAAAUGUCAGGCACUCAAGCAUCUCAGCACAAGCACAAAACAAAAA
Molecule: long non-coding RNA, 571 nt
Organism: Drosophila guanche
Lineage: Eukaryota; Metazoa; Arthropoda; Insecta; Diptera; Drosophilidae
Exons: 2
Source: RefSeq, a predicted model, not a curated record